ACCUAUAUGCCAUACCAGUAUCUUCACACUCCUUGGUUAAGAGGACAACCAACCCAUAUGGCCUACAGCGACCUAUGCUCGAUAGAAGCUGUCGUCCUUAUUAACAGCCUAUCAUUUGGUCGUGAACAGUUUUAAGGACUAAUCGAUAAAUCCUCUCUUUAUCGAACUUAAAUAGUCCUAAGGACUUCAUCGUAACAACGGAGUUCAUUAGAAGAUGAAAGCUUAUGAUGAAGAUGCCAAAUAUAUUUUAUUUAUUAACAAAUCAAUUACAAUACUUGGUUGCUCAACCGUCAACAGCUUGAUGAUUGGCUUUUUGGGACACAUUUCCCAACA
This 333-nucleotide long non-coding RNA is filed under the name Elaeis guineensis (African oil palm). Its description in RNAcentral is "long non-coding RNA (EGUI_LNC070642)". Lineage: Eukaryota; Viridiplantae; Streptophyta; Magnoliopsida; Arecales; Arecaceae. The record is from RNAcentral.